GUCUAUGACCAUACCACUCUGAAUGUGCCCAGUCUCAUCUGAACUCAGAAGUUAAGCAGAGUCUAGCCUGGUUAGUACUUAGAUGGGAGACUGGGUGCUGUAGGCU
This is a ribosomal RNA of Chlorocebus sabaeus (green monkey), 106 nucleotides long. NCBI's taxonomy places the organism in Eukaryota, Metazoa, Chordata, Mammalia, Primates, Cercopithecidae. The record is from Rfam.